CAACUGGAGAGUUUGAUCCUGGCUCAGAACGAACGUUAGCGGCGCGCCUAACACAUGCAAGUCGCACGAGAAAGGGCUUCGGCCCCGGUAAAGUGGCGCACGGGUGAGUAACACGUGGGUAACCUGCCCUCGAGCGGGGGAUAACAUUCCGAAAGGAGUGCUAAUACCGCAUAAGACCACGACCUCGCAAGAGGAUGCGGUCAAAGCUGGCCUCUAUACAUAAGCUAGCACUUGAGGAUGGGCCCGCGGCGCAUCAGGUAGUUGGUGGGGUAAUGGCUCACCAAGCCGAAGACGC
This 295-nucleotide ribosomal RNA is filed under the name Labilithrix sp. RNAcentral describes it as "partial 16S ribosomal RNA". It matches the Rfam family "Bacterial small subunit ribosomal RNA", at positions 1 to 282 of the family's 1533-position model. Lineage: Bacteria; Pseudomonadati; Myxococcota; Polyangiales; Labilitrichaceae. The record is from RNAcentral.